AUGCCAUGAUGAGGACACUUUCUCAAUAGUUCCUUGAACCUCUCCCAAGAGUCAUAUGAAGAUUCAUCCUCGAGCUGAUAAAAAUUAUUGAUCUCCUUUCUUAAUUU
Molecule: small nucleolar RNA, 107 nt
Organism: Humulus lupulus (European hop)
Lineage: Eukaryota; Viridiplantae; Streptophyta; Magnoliopsida; Rosales; Cannabaceae
Source: RefSeq, a predicted model, not a curated record